Molecule: ribosomal RNA, 253 nt
Filed under: uncultured bacterium
Lineage: Bacteria
Description: partial 16S ribosomal RNA
Rfam family: Bacterial small subunit ribosomal RNA
Source: RNAcentral
UACAGAGGGUGCAAGCGUUAAUCGGAAUUACUGGGCGUAAAGCGUGCGUAGACGGUUAUGUAAGUCGGGUGUGAAAGCCCCGGGCUCAACCUGGGAAUGCCAUUCGAGACUGCAUAGCUAGGGUGCGGGAGAGGUUGAUGGAAUUCCAGGUGUAGCGGUGAAAUGCGUAGAUAUCUGGAAGAACACCAGUGGCGAAGGCGGUCAACUGGCCCGAAACUGACGCUGAGGCACGAAAGCGUGGGGAGCGAACAGG